CAGACUAUAGUUGGUAUGUGCUAAGUAUUACACAUUCACAACGAGGCUUUCGCCAUAUUGUUAUUUCCAAUCGAGGAACAGUCGACGUCUUCACUGCUCCGUCGUUGCCGAGGAAAUCUCGACAUUUUGAAGAAUUCGAAAGCCAAUUCUUGUUGAAGUGUGCAGUCAGCACAUGGUGAGGAGGACCAGAAUUAACCUCUGAUUCCAAAUCAAUACUAUCGGCGUAACACCAGUGACAUCAUUUACAAUACAAUUUGAAAAUGAAUAAAUUCCAAGAGGGUCUUCAACAGCAACGGAAGUUGGUAGAGCAGCUACGCCUUGAGGCGGCCAUCCAGCGUGUGCGCGUAUCAGAGUGUAUUUACGACAUCGAGAAGUACUGUGAGCAACACUCGGAGGAGGACGCUUUACUAAAAGGAUUCCAAAGGCCCAGCGACAACCCCUUCAAGGAGAAGGGUGGAUGUGCGAUAUUGUAGGACUUGUACGGGGUGUCGUCGGGCACACUUCAGCUGUAUGCUGGUUCAAACCUAUAUUGUAUAAGGAUUUUGUCUUGGAAAAAUACUUAUUGCCAAAGACGUGAAUAAUAUAAUGAAGACAUGUCGAAUUCAAAUACAUGUACCUUCCAAAUUUCCCCGUUCCCUUGAAUGUUUGGCUCAAAAGUGACUCUUGCUAUUUCAAAUGUUUUUUCUCUAAAUCAAAUGUGUAUUUUCGUAUUGUAUAUAUUUGUCGUAAGCUGCUGGUAAUACAUGUAACUUUUGUUUCGUGUGUAUUUCAUAUAUUAUUGUGACGGAAUCAACCUUAUAAAUCCGUUGUGGGUAACAAACCCACGUCUGAAUGACUUACACUCGGAUACGUAGGGACAGCGAGACACGCAUUGCCAUGUCAUCUUAUUCAUCCCGAUCACUUGUUAGUCGGAAUUUUCGUUAACCGGAAAAUUUGUGAGUCCGGACUUCCGUAAUCAGGAAAAAAUGGUUCGCCGGACUUUCAUAAUUACAGAUUUGUGUCACAGAAGCAAGUGUCAGGUUAAUGAUAUGUGAAAAAAGCUCGCAAGUUUUAUAGAAAUUAAAGUAGGUUUGUCUCAUUAUGAACAUCAAAUUCUUUGCUAUAUAGUAGUUGAUGCCAUUUCGGUGUUUUGGCCCACAAUAAAGACCUUGUAUAACCUGAUUCAAACAUAUUUUUGGGAUUUAUAAUAGUUUUUGAAAAGGACUAAAAGGGAAAAAAAAUGACUGAACAAGGUUUUUGUACCACUUUGCGUGUAUAACUUAAGAUUUUACGCAAAUUAUUCGUAUAUUUUAUGCACACUUACUCUUUUGAGCCGAGCUUUCUAUUCUGAUUGGCGGAUUCAUGUGUCUCACGACGUGUAUGCCUUAUUUCUAGAUAAUUAUUGAUAGAUCAAUAUCAUUCGGAUUUUAAUUAAUGAUAUACAUUACGAUACAUACUAUAUUGUAGUACCUUUAAAUUUCUUGGGUAUGGUGAUUGAAGUUUUAUUUAUUUUCAUAUUGGUCACUGCUGCAUAUAGAUUGUUGUUCAUAGACACAUAUACAUUACAUUUACCGUAAGGCCCAUGAAAGUUUGGCUAACGGAAAAGUUUCACGCUUAAAGUGUGGAUUAAAUUGAUUUGUUGCCCCAUUUUAUGUCGCGAAUACCGAAUUCUAACGGAUUCUCCUGGACCUAUCAGAGUAACUGGGAGAGUAUGGGGUCUCUUGCUGCCACAAGGGAAAACCUGUGUAAUCGCUGGGUUACUGUGGUAGCUAUCGGCCGAGUUAAUCAAAGCUAGACUCAAUAAUCUAAUAGUCAAAGAUAUUUCACGAUUUUUUUGAUUUUUUUUUUGAAUCUGAUGUUUGGUACGUGUUGUCAUCAGUUAAACAUUUGGAAACCCAAAACAUACAUUUAUAUUUUAGAGGGAGGCUUUAACACUGUGGUGAAAGCUAGCGUAUAUAGUCAUUAAUAUAUAAACAUGCAUUGCUCUAGUUGGCGUAUACUACUAAUAUAUAUUUUUCAAAAAUCAUUUUAUUGAUGUUACCUAUACAAGACACAUAAAGUUAUACAGAAAAUUUAAUAUAUUAUAAAGCUUUAUUUUUUCUCUAGAUUCAUACCUACCUACACCAAGAUGAAAAGUACAGAAGUAUGAAUUUAAUAUUAAAGAUAAGUUGGGCGAGUCUGGUAAUUCGCUUGUUGUAAUGUAGAUUAUUUAAUGGUAGUGAUGAUGGUGGUGGUUAUAUUUUGGGUUGGUGAUUGUUUCUUUAAGCGCUGUUUCGUUUCACGAGACUUCAUGGAGAUCGAUGAUUGAUUGCAACUUGCAUAUGUUCUCCGCGAAAAUUGCAUUCUCGUUUGUAUAAAAUUAUCUUAUUGCUGGAUGAUCAAAAACUUAAAAAGUCAAAAAUUAUUUUAAAUGUUUUAACAUCGAAAUCUAAAAAUCGGAUGUAUGAACUCGAAAUCUCAUUAAUUAUAUCAGCACAAAGUAAUGCUAACCCAUUUGAUAUCUUGGUCCCAUAUUAUUUUGAUCGAUUUCGUACACUGAAUGUGAAUGUAUGUUAUAAAUGUGAAUAGUAUCAUAAUGGAAAAUAUUUUUCCUGUUAAUCAUUCGUGUGUUGUGAUGGUUGUAAACAUUUUUGUCUAUGACACUAUAUUGAAAAAUGCGAAAUUAUUUGUAAGCUGUCUAAAUUUGUGAUAUGCUCGAACUGUACCGUAUGAAUGGUUUGCCGAUUUGUUAUCCAAUCAUUGGACAUAUCACAUGACGGAGUUCUGUCCAAUGAAAACCUCACUUAGUGGACCCCUGCCUCUAGUCCUGCUAUUGUCCGCUUGACGUCGCUCCACCUUCCUGUUACUGUCCGCUUUACGCAUGCCCGGGAAGGUAUGGAGUAAAUAGAAGGAGAGUCAUGGUUACUGACCUAGGAUACAGAGGUCCACCCUACAGUAAGGGUUUAUCGUACACACGUUAUAUUCUACAAGAUCGUUAACUUACAACAUCGUAUACUUAAAAGUAUCUGUCCUGGUCCAGCCAUUUGCUCAAGUCCUGCCAUAUUGUGACAAAUCGGGUUCCUUUGUCUUUACACAAAGAGACGCCAGUUCAAAUAAACUUUACGAAAUGUUCCUUUCCUCAGCCUUGAUAAAGUUUUUCAUGGAAUCCGUCUACACUAGCAAAUCUAUAAAGUUAACUUGUCAGAACAACGUCGCCCACACAAGUUAUGUACUUCUUGCAAACGCAUGCAUAUGUGGAAAUUGUAAACAUAACUUUUCUAGAUUUUACCAAGGUGAUAUUCGGUAUCUAAUCCUUUAUAUAUUUUGACACUGCACAUCGGAGGCCAAACAGAAAGAGUCGAAAUCUAAUAAGACCUAGAAAUUAUAUUGAAAUAACGAAACAGUAGUACUCUCCUUUGGACUUUAACGUUGAUAUACAACUAUCACUAGACAUCCAUUAUUCUGGAGAAUGACGUCAUGUGUUUAUAAGGAGCACGUGCUUGUGUGGAGCGACCUGCAUGUCUUUUAAUGCAUGUAUACGAUUAACAACACUGUUCUUUUACAUACUGACUAGGAUUCCUCUGUCAUUUAUAAUGUAUCCCGACACAAGUGCUCUUCUAGGAUUGGUCCAAUAAAUUAUCGUAAGAGACAGCAA
This is a long non-coding RNA of Pecten maximus, 3613 nucleotides long. RefSeq lists it as uncharacterized. NCBI's taxonomy places the organism in Eukaryota, Metazoa, Mollusca, Bivalvia, Pectinida, Pectinidae. The record is from RefSeq and is a predicted model, not a curated record. The transcript has 4 exons.